Long non-coding RNA from Alnus glutinosa, 833 nucleotides. RefSeq lists it as uncharacterized. The transcript has 3 exons. NCBI's taxonomy places the organism in Eukaryota, Viridiplantae, Streptophyta, Magnoliopsida, Fagales, Betulaceae. The record is from RefSeq and is a predicted model, not a curated record.
UCAUUUCUUUUCUUAAGCUUUCCUCUCACUUUUCUGUAUAAAAAUCAUGAUCUACGAAGAUCUAACCGUCCAAACUCAAAUCUGUCUUCGGUAACAUGAUCUAUGAAGCCCGAUUUACAUUUUCACCGAUCGUUUUGAGGUAAUGGGUUUCUUGGAACUUGCUUGAGGCCACCCAAACCAUGGGUUUUGGUUUGGUGAAAUUUUGAUAAAUCGAGCUUGUGGUUUUUGGCAAUGGGUUGAUCCCAAAAUGUGUUCACAUGGAGAGAGGGUGGUAGGUCGUUUACGUGAGUGGCAUGGAAGUUUGAUUCAAGAAGCUGAACGAUGUCGUACAAUGGUUGAAACUGAAGUUGCAAAGUUGAAGGCGAAUAUGGGGAUAGAGGAAGCCGAACGAUGCCGACUUAUAGUUGAAGCUGAAGUUGCAAAGUCGAGGGCAAUUAUGGAGAUUGAAAAUGCUGCCCUUCGUAAAGAAAUCGAGAUUCAGGGGAUCAAUUACCAAACAAUGAAGAAGAUUUAUAAGACAAUAAUUGUAUGUACAUGGAUAUUGAUGAUUGUGUAUCUGCUUGUGGCUGGAUCAGAAUCAAAGGGUGUAUUCGAUUCCAAACAUGAUCGUAUGUUGUUACCAUGAAUAUUUAGGGUGAUGAUGUUUAGGGUUUAGGAUGAUGUUUUGGGCAGGGUUUAUGGUGAUGUGUUUAUGGUGAUUUUAUUUUGUACACAUCAUCCAUUUUUUGUAUGUGUUUAUGGUGCUGUUGUUUAGGGUGGUGUUAAAUGUUACUUUAUGUAGACCAUUAUUGGUACAUAAUGGAUGAUGUGGAAAUGAAAAAUAUAUGUGUUGA